CCCGCUGAACUUAAGCAUAUCAGUGAGCGGAGGAAAAGAAACCUACAGGGAUUACCUUAGUGACGCCGAGUGAAGCGGCAAGAGCUCAAUUUUGAAAUCUGGCUUCCUUUUUGGGGCUCUAGUUGUAAUUUGCAGAGGAUGCUUUGGGUGUGGUCGCGGUCUAAGUCCCGUGGAACGGGGCAUCGUAGAGGGUGAGAAUGCCGUCUGGGACCGCAGGCCCCGCUCGUGUAAAGCUCCUUUGACGAGUCGAGUUGUUUGGGAAUGCAGCUCUAAAUGGGUGGUAAAUUUCAUCUAAAGGUAAAUAUUGGCCGGAGACCGAUAGCUCAUGAGUAGAGUGAUCGAAAGAUGAAAAGCACUUUGAAAAGAGAGUUAAACAGUACGUGAAACUGUUAAGAGGGAAACGCUUGACGUCCGUCGCGUUGCUCUGGAUUCAGCCUUGCUUCCGCUUGGUGUACUUCCUGCUCAACCGGUCACCGUCAAUUCUGGCCACUGGAUAAAGGCCCAGAGAAUGUGGCAUCCUUGGAUGCGCUAUAGCUUUAGAUCGUAUACAUUGGAUGCUACUGAGGCACUCAGCACGCCAAAAGGCCGAGUGUCCACCAUGCACGGGCUUACGAUGCUGGUAUAAUGGCUUUAAUCGUCCCAUCUCGAUUCACACGAA
Molecule: ribosomal RNA, 658 nt
Filed under: uncultured fungus
Lineage: Eukaryota; Fungi
Description: eukaryotic LSU rRNA
Rfam family: Eukaryotic large subunit ribosomal RNA
Source: RNAcentral